Molecule: long non-coding RNA, 540 nt
Filed under: Lotus japonicus
Lineage: Eukaryota; Viridiplantae; Streptophyta; Magnoliopsida; Fabales; Fabaceae
Description: long non-coding RNA (LJAP_LNC001873)
Source: RNAcentral
UUGUUUUCCUAAUCAACUGUUAGAAGGAACCCUCUUUAUUUUGAGCAUAGCUAAAUCCUCUUAAUAUGGUAUUUAGAGGUAACUCCUAUAACAAUUCAUACUUGGUGGAUCCAUUUUCCUCCAGUGAAAUUUUUCAGGCUGAUCAUUUUCAACUCUGGUACAUCACCAAGUCUGCGAUGAUCCCUUUUCUAUUGACCAUUUUCUCUCUCCACAUGUCUCAAAGAUGUUUACCACCCCAUCCAUGCACAGUUCAGCCAACCAUCACUACCAUUGCCUCUAGCGUAAUCAAAUUGACCCAGUCCUGAAAUUUCACCGUCAUCAGAGGUUCCAUCUGCUGCCGCACCACCUGUCUCUCCCAUUGGCCACUUGCUUCAACUGGCGCAUGAGGGGAGCAUUAGAAUGUGUAUUACUAUGUCUAGGUUUAGUGUAAAUGUCUAGGUUCUUCAAUAUAUCAUGUAAAUAAUGUGAUUUAGGAAAAUUAUCUUUGUAUUUAUUGCAUUCAUUUUAUAAAUAUCAAGCUGUGGUAUAGUUGGGAGUUGG